This 253-nucleotide ribosomal RNA is filed under the name uncultured bacterium. RNAcentral's name for it is "partial 16S ribosomal RNA". It matches the Rfam family "Bacterial small subunit ribosomal RNA", at positions 524 to 776 of the family's 1533-position model. The record is from RNAcentral.
UACGGAGGAUCCAAGCGUUAUCCGGAUUUAUUGGGUUUAAAGGGUGCGUAGGCGGGCACGUAAGUCAGUGGUGAAAGCUUGCGGCUCAACCGUAAAAUUGCCAUUGAAACUAUGGGUCUUGAGUGUAAAUGAGGUAGGCGGAAUGUGUUGUGUAGCGGUGAAAUGCUUAGAUAUAACACAGAACACCGAUUGCGAAGGCAGCUUACUAGGAUACAACUGACGCUGAGGCACGAGAGCGUGGGGAUCAAACAGG